GCCUGGGUGGCUCAGUUAAGCAUCUGACUUUGGUUCAGGUCAUGAUCUCGCGGUGUGUGGGUUCGAGCCCCGCAUCAGGCU
This 81-nucleotide transfer RNA is filed under the name Felis catus (domestic cat). It matches the Rfam family "tRNA". From Rfam's summary of the family: Transfer RNA (tRNA) molecules are approximately 80 nucleotides in length. Their secondary structure includes four short double-helical elements and three loops (D, anti-codon, and T loops). Further hydrogen bonds mediate the characteristic L-shaped molecular structure. tRNAs have two regions of fundamental functional importance: the anti-codon, which is responsible for specific mRNA codon recognition, and the 3' end, to which the tRNAs corresponding amino acid is attached (by aminoacyl-tRNA synthetases). tRNAs cope with the degeneracy of the genetic code in two manners: having more than one tRNA (with a specific anti-codon) for a particular amino acid; and 'wobble' base-pairing, i.e. permitting non-standard base-pairing at the 3rd anti-codon position. The record is from Rfam by way of RNAcentral. Lineage: Eukaryota; Metazoa; Chordata; Mammalia; Carnivora; Felidae.